RNAcentral lists this non-coding RNA (29 nucleotides) under Mus musculus (house mouse). The record is from RNAcentral. Lineage: Eukaryota; Metazoa; Chordata; Mammalia; Rodentia; Muridae.
UGCCAUAAUCCAUCUUAGCAGCUCACAAC